UACGUAGGGUCGCAAGCGUUAAUCGGAAUUACUGGGCGUAAAGCGUGCGCAGGCGGUUUUGUAAGUCAGAUGUGAAAUCCCCGGGCUUAACCUGGGACUGCGUUUGAAACUACAAGGCUAGAGUGUGGCAGAGGGGGGUGGAAUUCCACGUGUAGCAGUGAAAUGCGUAGAGAUGUGGAGGAACACCGAUGGCGAAGGCAGCCCCCUGGGUUAACACUGACGCUCAGGCACGAAAGCGUGGGGAGCAAACAGG
This 253-nucleotide ribosomal RNA is filed under the name uncultured bacterium. Its description in RNAcentral is "partial 16S ribosomal RNA". It matches the Rfam family "Bacterial small subunit ribosomal RNA", at positions 524 to 776 of the family's 1533-position model. The record is from RNAcentral.